RNAcentral lists this ribosomal RNA (280 nucleotides) under uncultured bacterium. Its description in RNAcentral is "partial 16S ribosomal RNA". It matches the Rfam family "Bacterial small subunit ribosomal RNA", at positions 506 to 784 of the family's 1533-position model. The record is from RNAcentral.
UGCCAGCCGCCGCGGUAAUACGGAGGGGGCAAGCGUUGUUCGGAAUUACUGGGCGUAAAGGGCGUGUAGGCGGCCUGACCAAGUCGGGUGUGAAAGCCCUCGGCUCAACCGAGGAAUUGCACCCGAUACUGGUUGGCUAGGGUCCGGGAGGGGGUAGCGGAAUUCCCAGUGUAGCGGUGAAAUGCGUAGAUAUUGGGAAGAACACCGGUGGCGAAGGCGGCUACCUGGACCGGAACUGACGCUGAGGCGCGAAAGCCAGGGGAGCGAAUGGGAUUAGAUA